RNAcentral lists this transfer RNA (76 nucleotides) under uncultured archaeon. RNAcentral's name for it is "tRNA-Ala". The stretch from base 7 to 72 matches the Rfam family "tRNA". From Rfam's summary of the family: Transfer RNA (tRNA) molecules are approximately 80 nucleotides in length. Their secondary structure includes four short double-helical elements and three loops (D, anti-codon, and T loops). Further hydrogen bonds mediate the characteristic L-shaped molecular structure. tRNAs have two regions of fundamental functional importance: the anti-codon, which is responsible for specific mRNA codon recognition, and the 3' end, to which the tRNAs corresponding amino acid is attached (by aminoacyl-tRNA synthetases). tRNAs cope with the degeneracy of the genetic code in two manners: having more than one tRNA (with a specific anti-codon) for a particular amino acid; and 'wobble' base-pairing, i.e. permitting non-standard base-pairing at the 3rd anti-codon position. The record is from RNAcentral.
GGGCUUCUUGUAGAUCAGUUGGAAGAUCGCUGCCUUUGCAAGGCAGAGGCCCUGGGUUCGAGUCCCAGCAAGUCCA